This 323-nucleotide ribosomal RNA is filed under the name uncultured Acidobacteriota bacterium. RNAcentral's name for it is "bacterial SSU rRNA". It matches the Rfam family "Bacterial small subunit ribosomal RNA", at positions 1 to 292 of the family's 1533-position model. Lineage: Bacteria; Pseudomonadati; Acidobacteriota. The record is from RNAcentral.
ACUUCCCGAAUGCUCUAGAUUAGAGAUUGAUCCUGGCUCAUAAUCGACGCUGGCGGCGUGCCUCAGACAUGCCAGUCGAACGCGAAAGCCCCCUUCGGGGGGCAAGUAGAGUGGCGCACGGGUGAGUAACACGUAGGUAAUCUACCUUUGGAUGGGGAAUAACAACCGGAAACGGUUGCUAAUACCGCAUAAUGCAGCGGCACCUAAUGGUGACAGUUGUUAAAGCGGGGGAUCGCAAGACCUCGCGUCUGAAGAGGAGCCUGCGGCAGAUUAGCUAGUUGGUAGGGUAACGGCUUACAAAGGCGAUGAUCUUGUAGCCUGCC